UACGACUGUUGCCACCGCAGUCGCGGCCA
This 29-nucleotide small RNA is filed under the name Bombyx mori (domestic silkworm). RNAcentral's name for it is "ovarian small RNA-20983". Lineage: Eukaryota; Metazoa; Arthropoda; Insecta; Lepidoptera; Bombycidae. The record is from RNAcentral.